CCGAUCAAUUUUCCCAUUUACUCUUCUUCUCUCAUACGCUUUCUUCACCGCCGCUCAUUAAGAUUUUCAAAUUAAUCUUCAAAACAAUGGUUUUCUCCAGAAACCCCUUUCUCUCAUCCCAUCCAUCUGCGACAUACAUUCAAUCCUUCAUUCGUCUUCAAUCAGCAGGUUUGUAUAUGUUAAUUACCUAUAAUGUUUUAUUCUAAUGUUCUUUGCUACUAUCCAGGAUCAAACCCUAGAUUCUUUGUUCUUUUGUCUCCUCCACUGCUGCAAAUUACAAAAAUUGCCGUCGAUUUCUUCCGUCAGAGCAUUCAGGUUCUCCUGCAAACCCACCUGAAGAUGUAGAACGUUGGUUCUGCAGCGGUUAGGGUUUUGCUGCGAACCCGAUGAUGGUGAUGAUCAGAGGUUGUCGGAGUCCGCCCCCUCCGAGUUUCCGUUCAAGCUCCGCCAGUUCAAGCUCCGCCACUGAUUAUAAGGCGAUCCUAACACAUCGGAAGGGGAUAAUUAAGGAUGAUAAAGUGGACCUUGCUGAAGGAGUUUGAGAGCACUUUGACUUCCAGCACUUGAGCAGGUAUUGUCCCUCUUUGCUUUUCUACUUAUCGAGCUUUUGACAUCCUUCAAAUCGUCUAUUGUAAUUUUUCUUGGAGGUUGCACUUUUCGACCCAUUUACUUAACAUGGUCAAGUAGCGGGUCAAAACAGGUAACUAUUAGCUAGGGUCAAAAUAGUUGGGUCGAGUAAGUCUGCAAAUAUCUUUAUCUUUUCAUUUGAUAUAUUAUUAGUGUGCUCUUGAUUUAAUAUAUUAAUUUGUUUUUUAUAUAUAAAUUCAUCUUCUUUAUAAGUCAAUAUUUAUACAAUAAUUAAGGCUCCCAUCUUAUGGUUAAAAUACAGAAAAUUUUCUAAAUUUAUGAACAUAUGGUGUUUAGAUUAGAGCAGGGAGACUUCAAGGCAUCAGUGUGUGAAUAACAAAUGAUUUGUACCAUCAUGCAAUGGGAAGUCUACAUGGAUUUCUUUGAGGUACAAAUUUAUUACUUUAUUUAUUCCACAUAAAAAGGUUUCAAAAUAACUGAGUAUUAGGCAUUAACUAUCUUUUAAAUACCCUUGACAAGGCGUAUUGAGACACUUUCUCUAUGGGUCUAUAUACCUGGUCUGUCGUCCCGCUCUGAAGAAUUUAUGGGUCGACGGGCAACAUUAGUGUUUUAGGUUCAAGUAUGUAUGACCAGUUCUUGGGAAUGAUAACAAUGGACGAGUAAUAUUAGCGUGAAAACUUUUAAAUACUUGAAAUCUAAUACUUAUCCAUGGUCUGUAGUUUAAAGAAUUAUCAAUUUGGAACACAAAAUUUCUUAUCUGCAUAUCACAUAUAAUUUAUACAAUGAGAUGGUACUAUACUUGAGUAAAAGAUAGUAAUGGAAAUCUGGGUGUGUCAAGCGGGUUGGGUUAAAAGUCAAAGUGAGUUUGGGUCGCUCAAGUUAGGUUGAGCCAACUUGCAAACGCCUUUUUAUUUUUAUGUUUCUUGAAAAUUAAAAAAAAUAUUAAUGUUUAAAAUAUGAUUACAAAACUGUACUCUUGCGAAAAUAAUCUAUUUUUUAAAAUAAAGUGAAUCAAAAGGUUUUAUGCAUAUGAAUGCAUUUUAAACUACUCCAACUCUUUUGGUUAAAAUUUUUUAGCUUUCAUACAUUAAAGAUAUAAGACGACUGAAAUCAAAUGAUUUGUAAAAAAUGGGUAGAGAAGUACCACCUCUAUUGACUUUUUUUUUCUCAUGGUUAUUUUUUUAGUGGGAAUCAACUUGCAGUCAUCUAAUUACAUAAACCAAUUUACAGUCGUAGAGUUUUUGAAGAUCGUUAUGCAAAUUUUAGAAGGAUGGGUGUAUAUGGUUCCUUUGAUCUUUAAAAGUCAAAACUUGCUAAUUACUUGACUUUCUUGCUGCUAAAAACUAAAUGCUUUAACUUCUUUAAAAUGAUUUCAAUUAAAUUCUAACUGAACUUUAGCAUUAUUACAUUGUUAUUAUAAAACAAAUUAGAAUUUUUAGUCCUUUAGGCUUGCACAAAAGGCCAAACUAUGUGAAUUCCUUUGACUUUCUUACUGCUACACAAGGAAAGUUAUGGUUUAAUCAUAUUCAAUAACCAGAUGAGUCUAAUUACUAUUAUUAUUAUUUUUUGUAGAAUUGUAGCUUGAUUUUCCUACUCUAUAUGAACUAACAUUUUAGACAUCAAUGAGACGAUGAAGCCGUAUUGGUUGACUGGCUCAUUGAGAUAACUUUUCGGUCAGAUGGUUUCUAAUUUCUUUUCUUUAGAAUCAGUCAUUGGAUCAUACCCACCAAUGAUAUUUUAUUUAUUAACCAACAUCCCCAAUCCCCAUCCUCGGCCCAUGGGCUAUAUUCCACCACCAUGGGGUGCACCUCCUGGAUACUACGCCAACAACCCAUAUGCUUCUUCGGCAGGUUUGCGUACAUAUAACUUAUAUACACUUAUUUUAUUGAUGGUCAAACAAGGUUUGCCAAUCGAUUACUCAAGUUAUUGAUUACUUUUAUUUUACUUUAUUUGUCAACGUAUUUCAAUAUAUUACUAAUAAAAAAUUUUCAUAUAUUUUGUUUACGAUAGGUACGGUGUUGUUGGAUGUCAUGAUAUAAUAGGUGAUGAUUGUUUUUUCAAUUGGUCAAAAACGAAUUCGAGGUUAUUGGUUCCGAAGCUCCAGCAAGUAGAAAUAUUAGAGUAAUAGGCUUUCGUUUAUAUUUGAAAUCAGAAAAACGUAUUUCAUUCAUUUACUUAUUUUUUCGGUUUUCUUUGAUUUUAAUUUUCAA
Molecule: long non-coding RNA, 2798 nt
Organism: Helianthus annuus (common sunflower)
Lineage: Eukaryota; Viridiplantae; Streptophyta; Magnoliopsida; Asterales; Asteraceae
Exons: 7
Source: RefSeq, a predicted model, not a curated record